CAGCGGUCUAUGGAUCACAUACGAUUUUUAAUAGAAUGGGGAAUGAGAGGGAAAAAAGAAAUGAAAGGCGGGGGUCAGGAGUUUAUAAAAUCCCAGUUGAGCUAGGGAGAACAUGGAGGGGUUCUUUGUACAUAGGGGUUAUUACAUGGACAUUACAGCAAAGGAUUGCAGAGCGCAGGAGGGGCAUGGCCGUGGGAGCUGCAGCCGCUGCCCUGGCGGAGGCUGUGUAUACAAGCGAGAUGGGCAUGGACUGGGAUGGGGCAGGGAUUGUGAAGCCAGUGACGAGGGGGUCGCGGGCCCUGCUAUUGGAAGGAUUGGAGGUCAUAAAAGC
RNAcentral lists this long non-coding RNA (331 nucleotides) under Androctonus crassicauda. Lineage: Eukaryota; Metazoa; Arthropoda; Arachnida; Scorpiones; Buthidae. The record is from RNAcentral.